Molecule: ribosomal RNA, 468 nt
Filed under: uncultured bacterium
Lineage: Bacteria
Description: partial 16S ribosomal RNA
Rfam family: Bacterial small subunit ribosomal RNA
Source: RNAcentral
GACGAACGCUGGCGGCGUGCUUAACACAUGCAAGUCGAACGGAAAGGCCCUGCUUUUGUGGGGUGCUCGAGUGGCGAACGGGUGAGUAACACGUGAGUAACCUGCCCUUGACUUUGGGAUAACUUCAGGAAACUGGGGCUAAUACCGGAUAGGAGCUCCUGCUGCAUGGUGGGGGUUGGAAAGUUUCGGCGGUUGGGGAUGGACUCGCGGGUUAUCAGCUUGUUGGUGGGGUAGUGGCUUACCAAGGCUUUGACGGGUAGCCGGCCUGAGAGGGUGAACGGCCACAUUGGGACUGAGGUACGGCCCAGACUCCUACGGGAGGCAGCAGUGGGGAAUAUUGCACAAUGGGCGGAAGCCUGAUGCAGCAACGCCGCGUGCGGGAUGACGGCCUUCGGGUUGUAAACCGCUUUCGCCUGUGACGAAGCGUGAGUGACGGUAAUGGGUAAAGAAGCACCGGCUAACUACGUG